AACGCACCUUGCACUCCUUGGUAUUCCGAGGAGUAUGCCUGUUUGAGUGUCAUUAAAUUCUCAGAUCUCAAAUUGUUAUUAACGAGGCGAGACUCUGGAUGUGGAGUGUUGCAGGCUUUCAUUAGUCUGCUACUCUUAAAAGCAUUAGUGGUUACUGUUCUCCACUUUGGUGUGAUAAUUAUCUACGCCUUAUCAGUGUGAGAUGUUGAGUGUAGCUGCUUUCGAACAGUCUAGGAUUACUAGACAAUUUGAACCAUUUGACCUCAAAUCAGGUAGGAUUACCCGCUGAACUUAA
RNAcentral lists this unclassified non-coding RNA (295 nucleotides) under uncultured Agaricales. RNAcentral's name for it is "sequence contains 5.8S rRNA gene, ITS2, 28S rRNA gene". The stretch from base 1 to 52 matches the Rfam family "5.8S ribosomal RNA", at positions 103 to 154 of the family's 154-position model. Lineage: Eukaryota; Fungi; Basidiomycota; Agaricomycetes; Agaricales. The record is from RNAcentral.